UACGGGGGGGGCAAGCGUUGUUCGGAAUUACUGGGCGUAAAGGGCUCGUAGGUGGCCAACUAAGUCAGACGUGAAAUCCCUCGGCUUAACCGGGGAACUGCGUCUGAUACUGGAUGGCUUGAGUUUGGGAGAGGGAUGCGGAAUUCCAGGUGUAGCGGUGAAAUGCGUAGAUAUCUGGAGGAACACCGGUGGCGAAGGCGGCAUCCUGGACCGGCAUUGACGCUGAGGCGCGAAAGCCAGGGGAGCAAACGGG
This 253-nucleotide ribosomal RNA is filed under the name uncultured bacterium. RNAcentral describes it as "partial 16S ribosomal RNA". It matches the Rfam family "Bacterial small subunit ribosomal RNA", at positions 524 to 776 of the family's 1533-position model. The record is from RNAcentral.